UAGCCGUAAACGAUACUCGCUAGGUGUCGGCCACGGUGCGACCGUUGUCGGUGCCGUAGGGAAGCCGUGAAGCGAGCCACCUGGGAAGUACGGCCGCAAGGCUGAAACUUAAAGGAAUUGGCGGGGGAGCACCACAACGGGUGGAGCUUACGGUUUAAUUGGAUUCAACGCCGGAAAUCUUACCGGGACCGACAGCAACAUGAAGGCCAGGCUGAAGACUUUGCCGGAUUAGCUGAGAGGUGGUGCAUGGCGUAGUCGUGU
RNAcentral lists this ribosomal RNA (261 nucleotides) under uncultured archaeon. Its description in RNAcentral is "partial 16S ribosomal RNA". It matches the Rfam family "Archaeal small subunit ribosomal RNA", at positions 748 to 1009 of the family's 1478-position model. The record is from RNAcentral.